Chroicocephalus ridibundus (black-headed gull) is the source of this 3800-nucleotide RNA transcript. It is a transcript of the gene named OX-2 membrane glycoprotein-like, with no coding region annotated. Lineage: Eukaryota; Metazoa; Chordata; Aves; Charadriiformes; Laridae. The record is from RefSeq and is a predicted model, not a curated record. The transcript has 7 exons.
UCUUCAAAGAACAAUUAGUUAAUUUGGUUGAUAUUAAUAAUCCUUGAUGGAAAGAGACGCGGGGAGGGGGGGAAGCCGUUGAGGAAACCCUUCGCAGCCGGUUCCAGGGCUAAGAGUGGGCUGGCAGAUAAUUACGGUGCGUUCACAGACGAUUAAUCAGGCGUCAGGGCAUGAGCUCGGGUACUGCCGGUCGCUGCCCUCCCUGCACCAAAACCCGUAGCCGCCUGCCGGGGCGGCGGGUCCCUGCCUAUCGGGCGAGCGAACGGGCGGAGUCCACCGCCGCCUGCGGGCGGCACUCGCCCCGGGGGCUACCGCGGACGGGACGGGCGGCGGCGAGGUUGUGGGGACGGCCGGGGCGCUGUCGCUUCCCGAGAUUCGUUUUGUCCUUCCCUCCUUGCUUCCAGGAUCUUGGCAGCGCCCGUGCCCGGUGACCCACCGCCGGGGAAGGUGGGGCCGCCGCCCCGGAAAGCGGAUAGGAGCAGCUGCUGGGUGCUGCAGCCCGUCCCCGAGCCUUCCCCCCGCCUUUUCUAACCGGGAAGGACCCCUCCCGCGCCCCGGGCCCCGAGGUGACGGAUUUACGCAGUAGUUGCCUCACGAAGCUUGCGUGACAUCAGAAAUCAGCGCCGGCGAGUGGCGCCCGGUGCUCAUUGGGCUUUAUACAACUUUUCAAAAGUUGGAGAAGUUUCACAGAAGAUCGCUAAGGACAAGUGGAUCCAGCCCAGGGGUACAGUCGGUGGCCCAGGAGACCUCUGAGGUGCGGUUUGGGAAGGUGAAGCAGAUUUUUUCCCUUCCAAAAUGACUUUCCGAGCUCUGGUUUUGUGCCUGGCUUGUGCUGGGCUUGCAGAGGCAAAUGUCAUUCCACAGGCGGAACACAGAAACGUGACGGUGGGCAACAACGUGACUCUCGGCUGUACCCUGACAGAAUCCAAGGAUGUUGUGCAAGUGACAUGGCAAAAGGACUCUGAAAAAUCACACAAUAAUAUAGCUACGUACAGUACCCUAAAAGGAUUAAAGAUUCAUGAGCCCUAUCAAGACCGAAUGAAUUUCACGAGUCUGGUACUCAAUGAGACAAACAUCACUUUUUGGGACACUAGAAUGGACGAUUCAGGGUGCUACACGUGUCUCUUCAAUACUUUCCCUUUCGGCUCCAUCUCAGGACGUACCUGCCUGACUGUGUUUGGUCUCAAUGCAUCUGUCCAUUACAACAUUUCCGAAGGUCAUUUGAUUGCCACCUGUAAUGCCGUUGGCUUCCCAGAGCCCACCAUCACCUGGAACAACUUAUUCAAUUCUACUCCUACACAGGAGACAGUCAGGCACACCAAUGGGAUGGUGUCCAUCACCAGUAAGCUGGAGAUCUACAACACUCAGAGCAUCGGUGCACAGGGUUUGACCUGCAGAGUAAGCAACACAAAUGAAAAAAUGGAAUUGCCUGUGAAAAUGAAAAGAGAAGAAGGAUCCUCGUUGCUUUGGCUGAUGAUUAUUGUGGGGAUUUUAAUUGUCAUCAUAGCUCUGACUGUCACGCUGUGUUGGAAGAAGAGGAUGUGCAGGAGGAGUUGAAGUGGUUUUGAUGAACUGUGGCGCCAGGAUGUGACUUCUGCAGUGGGCUUGAUCCUAGAGGAUUUCGAUUCACCUACCAGAUCACUACAGCCUAGCAGCCUGAAGUCAACAUUACAAGCAGUGACUGGACGGACUGGAAAGAAACAGCAAUAAAAAGGAAAUACAUCACUCUACCCUUCAUAGACACAGAGUUGAUCACUGAAAAGACUAGCACAAUGUUUGUUAUCCGGUCUAGAUGCCUAUUCAUAAAAAGUGGGACCAGAGGGACCACUUAGUCCGCUCCUCUGCUGCUGGGCAAAAUCUGCUUUGCUUGUGCCACUCUUGGUACUGCUAGUGUGCAAAAUGUAUUUGCCUUCUUUCAGUUGAGUUUUGAAAAUGUCCAUGGAUGGAGGCUCUGCAGGCUCUGUGGGGAUGCUCUUCCAGUGCCUAAUCGCUCUCGCGGUAAAGAGGGGUUUAAUUUUUGCAAACAUCUGUCUGCAAUUUCACUUGCAGCAACUCUUCAUUCAUCGCCCUCUUCCUGACAUCUGGUUUUCCUUCUUUUACCUGUCUGACCCAACUCCUUUUCCUUGGUGUACGUAUGAAUGUGCCAAUGACCAUAUAGCUUAACUCUCGACCUGCUGGACUCAAACCACACCAAAUCUGCCAAAAUUCUUGGGGAAGACCAAUAAGGCUCCAGGCAGGUUGCAGAUUAGAGGCAGUAGCUGCCACACUUGGUAAAGAAGAGUUGUAAGUAGUUUAUUUAAUUUGGCUUUUCUUUCAAAUCCCGAGGUGGUGGAUUUUUUUUAAUAUAUAAGUGAGGAGGAGAUGAAAGUGAAGCCCAGUAGUUGGAAGUAUUGCCAUCCCCAUCUUUCUUUUCCUUUCUGUUUUGCUGUCAUUCUCUUUCUGUUUUUAAUGGAAAAACUCUGUUAAUAUCCCAAAGUAGCCCUUGCUUAGCUGUCAAAAUGCAUGUCCUAAGUUUGUCAAUAGUUCUCAUGGUCAUCUUAUGCACUGUUCAGAAUAGUCUCCCCGUCUUCAUCCUUUUUUGUGGUGUCUUUUUAAACACAGGCAAAUACCUCUGCUGGCCAAAAGCUAUUAUUCCCUACUUGGACCUUGUGUGGGAUGUUACAGUCUGGAGCUAACUAUCGUGUGUCACUGCUGCGAAUGUAAUGGUAUCAGUGGGGAAUUUUACAGAGGCAGAAUUGACUGCUUUGUCAUGGUUUUGGUAGCGGAGAAAGAUACUGCACUGCUCUUGCAAGCUGGGACCUAACGCUGCUCCUGCCCCAGGCAGGACCGGAGCCCCUCUCCCCACCACUGCCCCUGGUUGCUCCUUGCUGCCUGCCCAAGCCUGCAGAUCUGGCCAUUCCCAGGCUUAAUCCUCCAGUUGCCCAUGUGCCCUGCUUGCUGGGGCGUCUCCCGGGCACUGCCUUGCAGCUCUUCUCAUUUGUGAGGGGUGGGAGCCUCGGCGUGCCCUCUGCCUCCCGGCACCUCGCCAGGGCUCCAUACCCGCUUCAUUUGUUUGUGCAUCUGCAACAUUCCAUCUUACUAAGUGCGUAGCGUUUUGGGGGGUUUUUUUAUGUCAUACGUUUACCAAGAGUACAAACUGUCAGUCUCAAAAAAUCAGCCGAGAAGAUCUAGCAGAUACAGGACUUGUGAUAAGUGUUCAGAACCAGUAUUUUGUUGGGUUCCAGAGCAGCGGCCUCUCUAGAGUCUGGCAGAAGUUGUGUGUGUGUGCGCAUAUAUAUAGGUCUGUAUGUAUUACUGAGGACAUGAGGGGUGACGUUUGCUGUUACUGUUGUAGGUGCAAUAUGAAUUGUUUAUUUAUACUUCUAAUUUAAAAAAAAAAAUAAAUAAAUCUGAUCCAUCCAAAACACCAACUGGUCCAUUUGAUUUUUUUCUUCUGCUUGUUUGGGAUAUCAGAAACACUUCAUUGCAAAUUGUGCUUUUUUUUAUGGUUUUGAUUUACACUUUGCUUCCUUUCUGUAUACAGAAAGUGGGACUUCAGGGGGUUUUUAAGAUAGUUUGGGGUUUUUUUUUUUCAAAAAGAAAUUUAAGCAAAACAUCUUUUGAGAAAAAUUUACAGAAGUAUUUUUGACCACAGCAGUGCUGUGGUUUACUUCAGAUUUGAAAAUAAUUUCCAUCAACCAAAAAAAUAGUAUUUUAUAUAUUUAGUGAUAUUUUGUGUGUGCCAUGUUCAUUGCUUAAUGAUUCUUUAUCUGAAGUUACAUGCUCUACUGAUGUACAACUGUCCUUAUUUCUGUAUUUGC